UUAGGGGGAAGCUUAUCUGGGGAGGUGCUGUAGGUGUUAUUGGCUUAUGCUGGAGACAGCCCCAGGUGACACCUGCUGGGGACAGCCCUAGAUGACAGCUGCUGGGGACAGCCCUGGGUGACAGCUGUUAGUGUGGCUCUGGCUUUGCUGCUGUGCCUCUUUUCUGGUUUGUGUCCCAAGCCAGUCUCAGACUCUGCAACAGGACCGUGACCCCAGGGCUGGGUUUAGACCUAGGAUAUGAGGCAGGUGACAAGAGUGACUGUGCUCUUGCUCUUGGGUACUUUGGGCCUCGCUAAGAUCACCCAGCCCGUAUUCAUCGAGUCCUACGAAGGACAAGAAGUGAACAUACCCUGUAACCACACCAACAUUGCUACAAGUGAGUAUAUCUGCUGGUACCGACAGUUCCUCAACCAGGGACCACAAUUUGUUAUUCAAGGAUUUAAGACAAACGUGGAAAAUGAAGUGGCAUCCCUGUUCAUCUCUGCGGACAGGACAUCCAGCACCCUGAGCCUACCCCAGGCUGCCCUGAGAGACACUGCUGUGUAUUACUGCACCGUGAGUGACUCACACCUGAAUCCUCUCCCCCAACACAUUGACACCCCUGAGAAACCUUACACACGCAGCCAAGGUGGGGCCAUCAUUGCUGGAGUUUCCUGUAAAGAAGCAAAAUGAGAAGAUGAAGCAUGAGUGGGAUUGGUGCUCAGUGAUUCUGGAGGGACGUGGUGACUGUUGACAACACAACUUCUCUGGACCCAAGACUCUACACUCUUCAGAGUAGGGGUGAAGGCAAGUCAGCGACUAGACAAGGAGUCAUGAAGAGACAGCGGGGAGCCCUGCUGGGGCUUCUGUGGGUGCAGGUUUGCUGGGUGAGAGGGAUGGACGUGGAGCAGACACCUGCAGCCCUGAGCCUCCAGGAGGGAGCCAGCUCUACCCUGAGGUGCAAUUUUUCCAGCUCGGUGAACAACGUGCAGUGGUUCCGACAGAACCCCGGGGGCGGC
Molecule: non-coding RNA, 998 nt
Organism: Neofelis nebulosa (Clouded leopard)
Lineage: Eukaryota; Metazoa; Chordata; Mammalia; Carnivora; Felidae
Source: the annotation of a RefSeq genome assembly